UUAUUCCCGUACCUAUUAUAUGAGUGAUGUGGUAACGCAUCGGGAUGUGUACGAGCUCACUAAGGAUGUGAGUCACAAAUACAAAGCAAAUCUGACGUAAGUCAGUAUGUCUGUGGUAGGCAAAUCCGCCGCGGAAUAAAACGUUGAGUAUUAGAGAAACUGUCAGCAAUGGCAGGAUUCGUAGAGUUCUGGUGCCAAGAAAACCCGCUAAACUUAUCAUAUGAUAGCCUGUACCCAGAACGGACACACGUGGGUUGGUAGAGAAUACCAAGGUACUCGAGACAACUAAUGAUUAAGGAACUUGACAAAUAAGCGGACGUAACUUCGGGAUAAGUCCUGCCCCCUAGUAAUAGGGGGUCGCAGCGAAAGUAAUCGGGGGGACUGUUUACCAAAAACACAGCUUCCUGCUAACACGAAAGUGGAUGUAUAGGAGGUGAUGCCUGUCCAGUGCUAGAAUGUUAAGAACACUUGUGCAAGCUCGUGUUUUAAGCACUAGUCAACGACGGCCGUAACGAUGACGGUCCUAAGGUAGCGAAAUUCCUUGUCGGGUAAGUUCCGACCCGCAUGAAUGGCAUAACCAUCUCGAUAUUGUCUUAAUCUUAGACUCGGUGAAAUUACAUUUCCGGUAAAAAUGCCGGAUAGAUACAGUUAGACGGAAAGACCCUGCGAAGCUUUACUGUAAAUUGGUAUUGUAACGUGGUAUAUGAUGCUCAGCAUAGGUGGGAGACGUUGAUGUGUUGGCUUUGGCUAGCGCGGAGUCAAAAGUGAGAUACCACCCAUUGUAUAUAGCGUUACUAACCCCAUAAAAAUGGGGGACAGUGCCUGUUGGACAGUUUGCCUGGGGCGGGAGCCUCCUAAAGAGUAACGGAGGCGUACAAAGGUUUGCUUAGCACGGAUGGAAACCGUGCUGGACGUAUAUUCGCAGAAGCAAGCUUGACUGUCAGACUAACAGGUCGAACAGGUAGGAAACUAGGUGAAAGUGAUCCGGAUUUUCCAUGUGGAAGGGAAUCCGCUCAACGGAUAAAAGCUACUCCGGGGAUAACAGGCUAAUGGAGUCCAAGAGUCCAUAUCGACGACUCCGUUUGGCACCUCGAUGUCGACUCGUUGCAUCCUGGGGCUGUAGAAGGUCCCAAGGGUUGGGCUGUUCGCCCAUUAAAGCGGGACGCGAGUUGGGUUCAGAACGUCGUGAGACAGUUCGGCCCCUAUCUACUGUAUCCGCAGGUAAUUUGAGUGACGUCGUUCCUAGUACGAGAGGACCGGAAUGAACGAGCCUCUGGUCAACCAGUUGUCACACCAGUGGCACAGCUGGAUAGCUACGCUCGGUAAAGGUAACCGCUGAAAGCAUAUAAGCGGGAAACUAGUCACAAGAUUAGAUUACCCAUCUUGGGGUGGCUCAAGAGUAAGAACCCCUGUAGACUACAGGGUUGAUAGGCAUCAUGUGAAAGCGCAGCAAUGUGUUGAGCAGAGAUGUACUAAUAGUUCGAGGGACAUAUCAUC
RNAcentral lists this ribosomal RNA (1497 nucleotides) under metagenome. RNAcentral's name for it is "bacterial LSU rRNA". It matches the Rfam family "Bacterial large subunit ribosomal RNA", at positions 1433 to 2925 of the family's 2925-position model. The record is from RNAcentral.